GUGGUGGUUGGGUCGCUUUGCUUGCUGGGCUGGGCGGGGGUGUGGUUCUUGAACCGGAGACUCUACAAAGAGUAUGAAGAGAAGAGAGUGUUAGUUCAGAUCAUUUUCAGCGUCGUUUUUGCUUUCUCUUGCAAUCUUCUUCAGCUCGUCCUUUUUGAGAUCAUCCCUUUCCUCUCCAAAGAGGCAAGAUGGAUUAACUGGAAGGUGGAUCUGUU
RNAcentral lists this unclassified non-coding RNA (215 nucleotides) under Hevea brasiliensis (rubber tree). The record is from RNAcentral. Lineage: Eukaryota; Viridiplantae; Streptophyta; Magnoliopsida; Malpighiales; Euphorbiaceae.